This is a long non-coding RNA of Felis catus (domestic cat), 6610 nucleotides long. RefSeq lists it as uncharacterized. The transcript has 5 exons. Lineage: Eukaryota; Metazoa; Chordata; Mammalia; Carnivora; Felidae. The record is from RefSeq and is a predicted model, not a curated record.
UAGAUGUUAAGGAGAAAGGAUCUUGAGGGGAGAGGAGGAGGGGUUUAUUGGAUUAGUGGGUGGGCCCUAGAAAGCAUCACGUGUGCCCUUAUGAGAGCAAGCCCGACAGACCCACAGAGAAGAGAGAGAAGAGAGAGAUGGGGUCACCGCCAGGGGCCCCCGGAAGCUAGGGGAGACAAGAAGCAUCCUCCCCAGAGCCUCCCGGGGGAGCACGGCCGUGGCGAGCUCCUCGAUGUCAGACUCCCGGCCUCCAGAACUGAGACAGAAGAAAUUCCUUUUCUUUUGAGCCACCAAGUUUGUAGCAAUGUGUUCUCGAAGCCUUAGGAAGCCGAAAGGUAUUUUUGUCUUCGUGCGUUUAUUGUCGCUUUCAUGCUUGGUCCAGCCCGGCCUCCUCCCGCCGGGCUGGGCGCAGUCUCUACGGCCGGGCAGAGAGCAUCUCCCCGGGUUCUCCGUGACCUCGCUCUUCCUGGGAGCCCCGGCUCCUUGGCUGUCAGGCCUGCGGCCCUCAGGGCACCUGGGGACUUAGCAGCUGCUCUGGCUGCCUCGUCCGGGGCACCGCCUGGCCGUCGGGGUUUUGAAAACUCCCCUGCAGAUCCUGGCUCGCUGGUCCAAGCCCAGGCUGGUCCCGCUCCAAGUAGGGGUGCGUCCUGGUGGGCGGGUGGCCACUUAGCUGGGGGCAGAGGCGCCGAGCCGGCUUGGCCUGUGUUUAGCACAGUGAAGCUCUGCAGACAGCAAACGUCUGUCCGGCUGGAUGGAGCACACCCUGUCGACAAGGCUCUUGGCGGCCGCUAACUCCCGUGUUUUGAUUUUUCUGGACUUUCUGAAACACGUUCUGAGCCACCUUGAACAGGCAAAGGUAGCAAAGAUGAUCCCUUUCUUCCCGGUGCCUGAACUUUAAAACCACCCAGAGAUGCUCAGGGAAUGCGUCCUGUUUGCUCAGGUGCCUAACCGGAAGGACAGAUAAGGGCCGAGGUCCUGGUAACACUGAACGGACCCAGGAGCAAAGCCGCAGCUCAGCAACCGGCCGUUUCUUUGUUUUGAUUUAGGAGUGGAGUGGUCAGCCCAAGGACGCAGCCUCCCCCCGGGAGCCUGCCCGCCUUGGCAUCGGCCGUGAGCCCGGUGGCCAGCUAGACCGCGAAGCCCAGAAUCACCCUCGGCGCCCUGAGGCGCCCCUGGGAGCAGAAACGGUUGCCUCGUCCCAGCAGAGAAGCCAGUGGUGACCACACACGGUAUUGAGCCGCCCCCGUCCCCAGAUGAAGGCACCCCGCCCCAUGUGAGGGCUGGCGGUAAAGCUCCGGUGAUCAAAACAGCGCCGUGCUUGUUGCCGGGGGCAUAGACACCGAGCCGUCCGGGCCCGGCUGAGCGUCGCCGAUGUGCAAAGCAGUUCGAGGGGGGAAGGACAGGCUUCUCGGCACCUGGUGCGGGAGCAGCGGCAUAUUCGCGGGCUUGACCGAAGCCUCACACCGAACACGGAAAUUAAUUCCAAACGGAUCGCGGGUUAAAUGUGAGACAUAGUGUGCAAACCUUUAGGAAGACCCAGAAAAUCUUCAGGGCCUAAGGGGGAGAGUUUUCAGACUUGACCCCAGAAAUCGCAUCCAUCAGAGGAGAAAUUGAGACGGGCGCCUGGGGGGCUCAGUCGGUUGAGCAUCCGACUUCGGCCCAGGUCACGGUCUCAUGGUUCAUGAGUUCAAGCCCCGAGUAGGGUUCUGUGCUGACAGCUCGGAGCCUGCUUGGAUUCUCUCUCUCUCUCAUUCUCAAAAAUAAAUAAACAUUAAAAAAUAAAAAACAAACAAACAAACAAGCAAAUGUCUGCAUCGACCCCGAGGACUGAAGGCUGUGUUGGCACAAAAGCGUGCACACGAUGCUUAACCGUAACGCCUAAGCACCCACACCGGAAACGACCCGAUGUCCUUCACCGGGCAGCGGCCGAGCUGACCACCGUCUGUCCAUCAACAGCCCCGGAGCGCCACUCCAGCGGGCGGACCGCGCCCACCGCUCACGCAGCAGCCUGUUGGGCGCUCGCAGAGCGGUCCGGGGUGAGGAGAGCCGUCUCGAAGGCCGGGGUGGGUGCACCUCCGUUUCCGUCUCUUCCGGAGGUGAGGCCAUUCCAGGGAAAGGCGAGUGUAGCGGCUGCCAGGGGCUUGGAGCUGGGGGGCUCCGGUGAGGCAGCACGAGGGGCCCUUGGGGUGGGACGGCGCCCUCGUCCCAUGGAGCCGGCUACAGAGUGCCGGAAUUGCCUAGAACCGAACUCACACACGCGCACGCACGAGUGCGAGUCAGGUCGGUCUGUCACGUCUGAGCGUAUCGAUGUCUGUCCCUUGCCUGACCCAGAGCCUCAUGUCCACACUCAGGAGGACAGAAGUGAAGGUGGGUCUUUAAGAUGUACCCUCAGGCCUCGGGGCCAGGGCAAGCCUUCCUGGCCGGCGCUGUGGCCGCUGGUGCUGGUCACAAGGCAAAAGCGCCCUCACCCUGACAGCGAGUGUGGACCGGGUGUGGAGGGCCUGAAGCCUUCCCUCCGGCCGCACCGCCAUCCGGCCGCUGCCAGACCCCCACACACCCACCCCUGCCAAGACGAAGCUUCCGCCCCGAGCCCACGUCACAUUGCUGCGGCUUUGUCCCACGGAGACCCCGAGGCCUCAGUCCGGGGCUUCAGCCUUUGAAAGGGGAGCCAAGCCCUUAUUCCUGGCAGGACAGGAGUAAACUCUGCCCUAAAUAGAAACACCAUUCAUAGGGAAGCAUUUACCAUCAAUGAAUGAGGGAGAACGGUUACAUAACCCCUGUAAAAAUAGACUGACGUUUCAAUGUGUUUAAAGGGCUGGAGGGGAAUUCUCCGUGUAAGCUCCUUAGGAAGUAGAUUGGCUUCUGUCAACGGGGAUCUUAGGGGCCACUGAGGGGAACGACGAUUCAGCGGGUUUCAUUCUGGCCGCAGAGGACGGUGGCUGGUGGAGUGCACUCGUGAAAACCGUCUCGAGGCCCGCCGUGUGCCUGGUACCAGGGCUAUGCCAGGGACUGCCACCGUCUCCGACCUCAUGGGACCCAGGUCCCAGCAAGGGAGACCGCCAGCCAGCACACACAGUCAGACUCCAGCAGCCGUCAUGACUCUCCACUCACAUCCGUUGUCAUUGUCGCGCUAUGGAGCUCCUGCCGAGGUCCCCAGUGACAAGUGCCAGGGUCAACGGCUGUGACUUCCGCUGGGAUCCCAGAGCUGGCAGGGAAGGAAGGCAGCUCAUCACAAACACGGGGGACUGUCACACCCCGGGAGUCACCAGGGCUGCCCGUGUCGGUGGCUUUCUGAGGACGAGCUGAAGCUGUUGCCAUUAAGUGGGGGCUCCGGAAACGUCUGCCCUACAGGCUGCUCCAGGCUCCGCGGGGACCCGAGAGAUAAGUGGGUGGACCCGAGGCUCCGUCGUGGGCGGCCGCGAUGAGCAAAGACACUGAGGCUCAACCCCGGCCGGGGUGUCUGGGGGCCUGUCCGCUCCAGGUGGGGGCUGUGUGGAGGCUCCAGCAAAGCCGCCCGAAUGAAGUGGCAGACGCUCGGCCCCGGACCCGCUCCUCUGGAGAAGAAUGCCAGCCGAAACUCCUCUGGCCGGUGCCCUGGCCUGGUCGAACAGAAUUAGGGCUUUUCUUGCAGAAGUGGAGGAGGCAAAUCUGGAAGGGGUGUUGGGGGCAGGCACACGUGCUCACUGUCACCUCUCCACCGACUGACGGGCAAGUACCGUCCGCACGAGCGUGGACAGGGCCAGGCACUGUCUUCUGUCGGGGACACGCUGAGCCCAUCGAUGAUCCACCGAGGGACCCCACCCUGGCCUCCAACCAGGUGGGCACCCGAGGAGAAGCCUGGAUGCCGUAUGUCCAGCAGCAAUAGCUCGGUCUUCCAGGAGGCUCUCUGGGCUCCAAGAGGCCCUGACAGAGCAGGGUCCUGGGUCUCCACCUUCCUGUCUUGCCUGGAUGUGCACGAAGCCUGGGCGAGCACCUGAAACAUGCUACUGUUGUGAUCCGUAACAGCGCGGUGGCCGUUGGGCCUGCAGGGGCUGCUGUCACAUCCGAGUUGACCUUGAGUCGUGGCUCCAUAGGAGACUGACUGUCUGCUGUCCCCUCUCUCAGCCGGGAGCGGAGACGGGUGUUGGCUGAGCCCUGGAGGGGGGGUAGACUGGCAUCACCAUGUGCCCGGGGGGCCCCCCUGCGCCCUGGUGCCCUCCUAAGUGGGCGACUCCCCGGGGCCCACGGGCCAGAGCCGCACCCUCCGGAACUGGUUCUCCUGAGUACAGGGCCGGGCGGGACGGAAACUGAACAGGCUGUACCCAGGAAUGCAAAUGACUCUGCCUGAGAAAAGAGAAGGGCAUCCAGCCAUGGCCCGGAGCUGGCGGCCCCUGAGCCUCAACACAGCUGGCAUGGAAAAUCCCCUGCCCCAGACGCGGCCUCGUCUUGUCUCCGUUCUGGAGGGCGGGGGUAGGAGAGGUGACCCCGAUAGGGAAGGCCUGGGUCUCACAGGCGCGUGCAGCUGAGCCCCGUGGACCUCUCCGGUCCAUCCAGCCGUGGCAAACCGGGGAGCCCUGCCACGGUGAGCCUGUUUCCACCCCCUAAAUUUGGAGCCCAGAGUUGGAAAAGCCAGACUGCGGGGAGGGGGGGGGCAGUGCCAGCCAAGCCACCAGGGCCCACGUGGGUGCAGGGGGUGGAGAUCCUGGCAUCCGCAGCCUGUGGCGGCUGGGGGCGGGCAGCGAGGACGGCGGGAGGGAGGGGCUUCUUGAAGGAGAAGCCCUGCUGGGGCACCCCCCAGCCCCAGACAGGGGAGCCUCUUCCAGAGGAAGCAGUGGGCAGCUGGCCCCGGGGGAGGGGCCUUGCUCAACGCAGGAGGGCGAGGUCUGUGCUGUUUCCGGGCCGGGAGGGGUCGUCAGCCCAACUGAGAGGGACAAGCCCUGGGACGAGCCCCGUGUUGCCCAACUCCUGCCCCCGGGCCUGGAAACCCAGAGGCCCCUGCCCUGUGUGAGUCUCUCGGUGGCCACCAGCCACUGGGUAACUGUGGGAGCGGCCCUGGCAGGAAGCCGCCCUUGGAUGGCGCAGCCGCGGCUGGAGCCUGCCAAGCCUGACACCCACCUCCCGGGGGCCGAAACCGGCGUGGGGGCUGGGCCUCUCCCGCGGGGGCUGGUGAGCCAAUAGUGCCGAUGACGCACCGCGGUGACUGACAUAAGGCCCGGGGGCCGCGAGCAUCCUUCCAUUGGCCAAUAAGUAUAUCUUGACCCGAGGGAGGCAGGCGGCCCCGAAACAGUUAAGUGUUCAGAAUAUGCCUCAAGGUCUCCAGCAGUCACCUGAGAGUUCGCUUCUUUAGCAGCGCUCUCCUGCCCGUGUCCCCAGCCUGCCCACAGUCCACACGGGUCCCCUCGCCUCCGUGAUGCUCGUCACAUGAUCACGCACGUUUGAAUCGGAUGCGAUGGAAAUGUUCCAGGUUUUGAAAUGCCCACGUACCUUUAUUUCCACCGCCGGCGUGUUGUUCGCAGUAUUGCAGUGAGACUGGUAAGAUGGGCCUUAGAAUUAAGCCCACUGAAGUAGGAAGCCACCAGGGGUGUGACGCCCCAAGUCCCCACCCAGCAUCCCUCUUACCUGCCUGGUGACAGAUGGCUCCGGAGAGGAAAUGCCGCCCUCGAGUUUCCCCAUGUCACGUGCUGGAUUUUUUCACGCUGCGUCCGCGCCGUGGAGUGACCUUACAGCCCCUAGAAAUGUUUGCGUCUGCCCCCCCCCCCGCCCCCGUCCUUUCUGUCCCCAUCUCUGAGCUGCUGUUUCAGGGAGUCAACUCUGUUCAUGACACGAGAAAACAAAUCAAGCAGGAAACGGAAGGACUGCUGUUUCUGGAGCAUGUGAACUCUUUGGACAGCUGUGUGACCACCCUGUCACCGCACGGAGACAGUCCAUCUCACUCCCGGGGGCGGGAGAGGACACGGCAGACGAGCGCUGGGACCCUGUGAGCUGUGCGUGGGCCUGUGCUGACCUCCCGCUCGCCCUCCCCGGGGGUGAGGGCCCCUCCUGGGAAACGAGGCAGACUGCUUCCUGCUCCCCUGUGGGUCCUUCCAGGGACUGUCCAGGAGUGACCCCCCCGCUAGGGAGGACAUUCCCUAGAACGGCCACGCCUCUUCCCGAAGAGGGUCCUUACACCCCGAGCCGAAAGUACCCCACUUCUCAGAGCUUCUCAGAGUGACCCUGGAGAUCCGGGAAUUAAACUCAUGAGUUUAUGAAAUAAGAAACAAAGACGAAGCUUCUGGUAAGAUUGUGUCGGUGGAAAUGUCUGGAAAGAGGAGGUCAGCUUAGCGGCAAUGGGCGUAAAACCAGCUUGCUGGGAAAUCCCACGCGUAACCACAGGCUUAGAGCUUUAGGGCUCCUCCGAACUUUCUAGGGUUGGACCCCGAUGGAGGGCGUGUGCAGGAGGGGGGCCUCGGGCACGGCGCCCCCGACGGGACAUGCUGCAGGCAGACCCAGCAGCCAGGGCUUGUGCCUUGGUUUUUUCUUCUCUCCUUUAAAAUUUUUUUUUCUAACAAUAACUCUUUUGUUUAACAAGUUAAAGAACUUGCUUCAUUUAUUUGUUUGUUUGAUUGUCGUAAAACACACAUAAUGCAAAGUC